Molecule: ribosomal RNA, 465 nt
Filed under: uncultured bacterium
Lineage: Bacteria
Description: bacterial SSU rRNA
Rfam family: Bacterial small subunit ribosomal RNA
Source: RNAcentral
GAUGAACGCUGGCGGCGUGCAUAACACAUUCAAGGUCGAACGGGGUAAUCCUUCGGGAUUACUUAGUGGCGAACGGGUGAGUAACGCGUGAAGAACCUGCCUUUCAGUGGGGGACAACAGUUGGAAACGACUGCUAAUACCGCAUAAUGUUAUUUGGGGGCAUCCCUGAAAUACCAAAGCUUUAUGUGCUGAAAGAUGGUCUCGCGUCUGAUUAGCUAGUUGGUGAGGUAACGGCUCACCAAGGCGACGAUCAGUAGCCGGUCUGAGAGGAUGAACGGCCACAUUGGGACUGAGAUACGGCCCAGACUCCUACGGGAGGCAGCAGUGGGGAAUAUUGGGCAGUGGGGGAAACCCUGGACCCAGCAACGCCGCGUGAAGGAAGAAGGUUUUCGGAUUGGUAAACCUCUAGUCCUAAGUGAAGAGAAGAAGACGGUAGCUUAGGAGGAAGCCCCGGCUAACUACGUG